This 462-nucleotide ribosomal RNA is filed under the name Streptococcus infantis. RNAcentral's name for it is "bacterial SSU rRNA". It matches the Rfam family "Bacterial small subunit ribosomal RNA", at positions 28 to 474 of the family's 1533-position model. Lineage: Bacteria; Bacillati; Bacillota; Bacilli; Lactobacillales; Streptococcaceae. The record is from RNAcentral.
GACGAACGCUGGCGGCGUGCCUAAUACAUGCAAGUAGAACGCUGAAGGAGGAGCUUGCUCUUCUGGAUGAGUUGCGAACGGGUGAGUAACGCGUAGGUAACCUGCCUGGUAGCGGGGGAUAACUAUUGGAAACGAUAGCUAAUACCGCAUAAGAGUAGAUAUCGCAUGAUAGCUGCUUGAAAGGUGCAAUUGCACCACUACCAGAUGGACCUGCGUUGUAUUAGCUAGUUGGUGAGGUAACGGCUCACCAAGGCAACGAUACAUAGCCGACCUGAGAGGGUGAUCGGCCACACUGGGACUGAGACACGGCCCAGACUCCUACGGGAGGCAGCAGUAGGGAAUCUUCGGCAAUGGACGGAAGUCUGACCGAGCAACGCCGCGUGAGUGAAGAAGGUUUUCGGAUCGUAAAGCUCUGUUGUAAGAGAAGAACGAGUGUGAGAGUGGAAAGUUCACGCUGUGACG